UCAAUAUUGAAACCCCGUGACAGUCUUCUUGAUUCAGGGUAGAGUGAUCGUCUGUCUGACGUCAUUGGCCUGCGUUACUCACACGGGGCGGAGCUCAAGUAUUAAAAGAGGGGGCAGCUGUACAAUCUGUGUGGUUGGUUGUUUUGGGGUUGGAGUUUGAAGGGCGGCGGAAACAGGUCCACCGUGAGUACUGUGCAUAGAACACUUACCUCCUCUUCAGCAAGAAACAUCUUAACCUCAACCAUGUCUGACCAGGUUGAGAGUUCAGCAGCAGACAAUAUGAUUUAAAAUACACAGGUCAAUGCAGUGGAGUUCAGCUGCAAGACCACUCCUGUCGCAACAGCCUCUGUAUAGUUGGAGGGAACCUCCCACUCACAAGGAUUCCGACUGGCUCACUCAUGCUGAAACUGUUGGAACUGGAGGCUGGGCAGAACUUGCCUAUUUCAUGGCCUUCUCUCCUGAUGGCAAUCUGUGGUGUCUCCAAGGAUAAAGGGAAGAUCUACUCUGCUCCACUGCAAAAGCUUGCCCCCGACAACUGGCUUGAAAGAGCCCAGAACCAUUUACUACAAUCGUUACCUGAUAGUUGCCUUCACGCAAGAAAACCAUUAGCAAAAUCUUAAGCUUGGAUUUUGAAGUCAACAUUGCCAAGAUCCUUUCCAAUGUCCCUCUGACUGUCGGGCAACAUGACUGUGACAACACUGCAGGCACUGUUCCCUACACUGCCACUUUCCAGUUUUCAGAGUCCCUUACCUUGGAAAGCUCCUUUUCCCGAGAGCUUGGAUUUACUGUGGCAGAUGGGGCAUCGACAACCUUCAAGGCUGGAAUCCCAGUGAUUGCGGAGAAUGAAACUACAGUCACCCUGGAUGUCAGUACAAGUCACACCUGGAGCUUUACAGAGACGGAAAGGAAACGGGUUGUUGACGGCUCUACCUUGAGCAGCACGGUGCCCCCUGGGAAGGCAGUGAGGUUCAAGGCUGUUGUCCAGAAGGGAACCCUGGAUGUUCCUUAUAAAGCGAAGGUGACCACUGUCUUUGGAUAUGAAACCACUAUUACCGGAAGAUGGAUUGGAGCUUCAGUAUCCAAAGUAGGAAUAAAGGAAGAAAUCCUUGACCUCAAAAAGUAGCCAUAGAUCUGGAAAAGACCUGUAUGAAUAUAUUUUUUUUUAAUAAAUAGGGAAAAUACUAGCAGUUGG
Non-coding RNA from Lepisosteus oculatus (spotted gar), 1192 nucleotides. The record is from RefSeq and is a predicted model, not a curated record. Lineage: Eukaryota; Metazoa; Chordata; Actinopteri; Semionotiformes; Lepisosteidae.